RNAcentral lists this ribosomal RNA (124 nucleotides) under Saimiri boliviensis boliviensis (Bolivian squirrel monkey). The record is from RNAcentral. Lineage: Eukaryota; Metazoa; Chordata; Mammalia; Primates; Cebidae.
GCCUAUCACCAGACCACCCUGAACGCACCUGUUCUGGUCUGAUCGUGGAAGCUAAGCAGGGUCGGGCCUGGUUGGUACUUGGAUGGGAGAAUAACAUUUUCAAAGACAAGCUAUGUUAAAGGGG